UACCAAUAAUGCCAAGCACUUGGUAGUUGGUACAACUAAGCUUUUCGCCGUUAGACCUACUUUUCUAAUUAUUCUCACUCGUUAAAUUAUACUAUUCAAUUAAUCACCCACUCCUCCUUAGAAAACACUAUUAUCUUAACUGUAUAUUUCUUAAUCAAAAGAUCGAAAAUCUAAUAGCACAAAUAAUAUGAUGUUAUUAAUAGUAUAGCAGCCUAGUUCUUAAGCCUAAUAGGUACUGAAAAACU
Molecule: long non-coding RNA, 245 nt
Filed under: Ananas comosus (pineapple)
Lineage: Eukaryota; Viridiplantae; Streptophyta; Magnoliopsida; Poales; Bromeliaceae
Description: long non-coding RNA (ACOM_LNC026996)
Source: RNAcentral